CCUACGGGAGGCAGCAGUGAGGAAUAUUGGUCAAUGGGCGCAAGCCUGAACCAGCCAAGCCGCGUGCGGGAUGACGGCCCUAUGAGUUGUAAACUGCUUUUGUAGGGGAGCAAAUUCCCUCACGUGUGCCGGGUUGAAAGUACCGUACGAAAAAGGAUCGGCUAACUCCGUGCCAGCAGCCGCGGUAAUACGGAGGAUGCGAGCGUUAUCCGGAUUUAUUGGGUUUAAAGGGUGCGUAGGCGGUCCGGUAAGUUAGGGGUGAAAUCCCGGGGCUCAACUCCGGCACUGCCUUUGAUACUGUCGGGCUGGAGUUUGGGAGAGGUAGGCGGAAUGCAUGGGGUAGCGGUGAAAUGCGUAGAGAUCGGGCAGAACACCGAUGGCGAAGGCAGCUUACCGGACCACGACUGACGCUGAGGCACGAAAGCGUGGGGAGCAAACAGGAUUAGAUACCCUAGUAGUC
Molecule: ribosomal RNA, 460 nt
Filed under: uncultured bacterium
Lineage: Bacteria
Description: partial 16S ribosomal RNA
Rfam family: Bacterial small subunit ribosomal RNA
Source: RNAcentral